RNAcentral lists this RNase P RNA (526 nucleotides) under Candidatus Omnitrophota bacterium. RNAcentral describes it as "Candidatus Omnitrophica bacterium RNase P RNA component class A". It matches the Rfam family "Bacterial RNase P class A". From Rfam's summary of the family: Ribonuclease P (RNase P) is a ubiquitous endoribonuclease, found in archaea, bacteria and eukarya as well as chloroplasts and mitochondria. Lineage: Bacteria; Pseudomonadati; Candidatus Omnitrophota. The record is from RNAcentral.
GCAGGCAGAAAGUAGCCGCCCCUGUAUAAGGGGAGGAAAGUCCGGGCUCCAGAGGACAGCGUAAUGGGUAAUGCCCAUCUCCGCCAAAGUUUCAGGGGCGGAAGGAUUAUCCCGACGUUCCGACCGAGCGUAAGCGAUGCCGACGUUCACAAAAUACGUGAAGUCGGCAUUCCGACUGAGCGUAAGCGAACGUCGGAAGCGUCGGAAGCAUCGGGAGAGCCACAGAGACGAGCGCCCCACUGCCUUUGUCUUGCUACGCAAGGCAAAGGCAAAGCGUAAACGGGGCGGGUGAAACGCGGUAAUCUCUACGCGGAGCAAGGUAGAAUAGGAGACGAGCGCCAGUCCUGCGCGACAAAAGUCUCGGGUAGACUGCUAAAGUCCCGGUAUUAAUACCGGGAUUGAGAGAAAUGGCUACUAAAGAUACGGAUAUUCGCCCCGUUAGAAAUACUACAAUAAUUUCAUUAGUAUAUGAAAUUUCUAACGGGGUUCGUAUCAAGACAGGACCCGGCUUAUUCUGCCUGCUUUU